AGCUAAUACCGCAUAACGUCGCAAGACCAAAGAGGGGGACCUUCGGGCCUCUUGCCAUCGGAUGUGCCCAGAUGGGAUUAGCUAGUAGGUGGGGUAACGGCUCACCUAGGCGACGAUCCCUAGCUGGUCUGAGAGGAUGACCAGCCACACUGGAACUGAGACACGGUCCAGACUCCUACGGGAGGCAGCAGUGGGGAAUAUUGCACAAUGGGCGCAAGCCUGAUGCAGCCAUGCCGCGUGUAUGAAGAAGGCCUUCGGGUUGUAAAGUACUUUCAGCGGGGAGGAAGGGAGUAAAGUUAAUACCUUUGCUCAUUGACGUUACCCGCAGAAGAAGCACCGGCUAACUCCGUGCCAGCAGCCGCGGUAAUACGGAGGGUGCAAGCGUUAAUCGGAAUUACUGGGCGUAAAGCGCACGCAGGCGGUUUGUUAAGUCAGA
Molecule: ribosomal RNA, 436 nt
Filed under: Escherichia coli
Lineage: Bacteria; Pseudomonadati; Pseudomonadota; Gammaproteobacteria; Enterobacterales; Enterobacteriaceae
Also listed under: 1 other name
Description: bacterial SSU rRNA
Rfam family: Bacterial small subunit ribosomal RNA
Source: RNAcentral